RNAcentral lists this ribosomal RNA (469 nucleotides) under uncultured bacterium. RNAcentral describes it as "partial 16S ribosomal RNA". It matches the Rfam family "Bacterial small subunit ribosomal RNA", at positions 28 to 507 of the family's 1533-position model. The record is from RNAcentral.
GAUGAACGCUGGCGGCGUGCUUAACACAUGCAAGUCGAACGGUGAACACGGAGCUUGCUCUGUGGGAUCAGUGGCGAACGGGUGAGUAACACGUGAGCAACCUGCCCCUGACUCUGGGAUAAGCGCUGGAAACGGCGUCUAAUACUGGAUAUGUGACGUGACCGCAUGGUCUGCGUUUGGAAAGAUUUUUCGGUUGGGGAUGGGCUCGCGGCCUAUCAGCUUGUUGGUGAGGUAUUGGCUCACCAAGGCGUCGACGGGUAGCCGGCCUGAGAGGGUGACCGGCCACACUGGGACUGAGACACGGCCCAGACUCCUACGGGAGGCAGCAGUGGGGAAUAUUGCACAAUGGGCGCAAGCCUGAUGCAGCAACGCCGCGUGAGGGAUGACGGCCUUCGGGUUGUAAACCUCUUUUAGCAGGGAAGAAGCGAAAGUGACGGUACCUGCAGAAAAAGCGCCGGCUAACUACGUG